This is a non-coding RNA of Camellia sinensis, 1969 nucleotides long. Lineage: Eukaryota; Viridiplantae; Streptophyta; Magnoliopsida; Ericales; Theaceae. The record is from RefSeq and is a predicted model, not a curated record.
UGAAUAAAAUAAGUUAGAUUACAAUGAUAAUAGAAACACAAUGUAGAUUUAUAACUAUUAAUCCCUUCUCUUUAAACCUUAGGAAUUUGUGUUUUUUUUUAUUUUUAUUUAUUAUCCUUGACUGAAAUAUUAUUAUAUAUGAUAUGACAUAUAAUAAAUAUAUAAAACUUUUUUUGUUUUUUUUUUUUUGUGCCUCUCCCACAUGUAUCAUGUCCUGUAUUUUUGUUAACUUGUUUUGUCCAUGUCUGAUUUGUAUCACAUGUUCGUGCUUCUAGGUCUACCCUUCUUAGCAUCCUGCAAUGGUGGGGUUGCUUUUCUUUUUCGUAAAAAAGAGAAAAAAAAGAACAUUUGCAAAAAGUCUAGAAUAUGCAUAAGUUAACUAACUUAUCAAUGUUUCUAUCCUAAUUUGUAUUCUUUUUAAUUGCCAAUCUUCCUUGCGUAGUUCAAAGCAAAGUUACCUGGAAUGCAGAAUAUUCUAGUAUGAGGAACACGAAUGGGAAUGAGAACAUGGGAAACCAUGUGCUGUAAAAUGUGAUACAUUAGGGGUAGGCUUCUAUAGAUCACAUUAUUGGAAUUUGUUAAGGCACUUCAAAUAGUCAGGGCAUUCUUUUGUUAACAAUUAGGUAUCCAAUUUAACACAAUCUAUUAUUCUUUAAAUUAGUCAUGUAGAAACACAUUUUUAGGACACUAUGACUUGUUUAUUACAUUGUCUUGCCAAAACUCUUCACUGUAGAUUUUAUUCAAUAUAUCCAAUUCAUCUCUUCUAAAGCUUAAGGAAAAAUGCUAAGAAAAUAAAUAGGUAAAAAAAAUUGGAUUGAUAAAUUCAUUGUUUGGUACAAAAUUGUGUUAUGUUGUGGAAUGUGAGUUCCAAAAUGAAAAUUACUAGGAUAUUAGUGUUUUCUAGUAACAUUGGUUCAUAGUGUUAUUUUUGGCAUCAUUUAUUCUUGUUAGACCCAUAAAAUACAAUUUCCUUAGGAGCCAUUUAGAUUGGGUGCUCGUGUUCAGGUAGGCUAGGAAGUCAUUUCUUCUUCUUUAAAGAGCAAAUGCAUUCUGUUGGAUAACAAAUAUGUUACGAAUCUUAUUUUAAUUCUAGUACUUGGUGGAUGUGUGUGUCAUUUUGUAGGCCUAUACAAUUAUAUGGCAUGUACAUAUGUUUGGGAUUGUUUUUGAGGUCUGAAACUGAUUAAAUGAUCCAUCUUGUGUGGGUUAAUCCUAACUGUAUGGGAAUUAGGAUUUUUGGAGUUUGUAGACUUGUAGAAAUUAUAGGAUUAAUGAGAUUAAGCGAUUUUGUCGAGAUGUAGAGGAGACAGAAAAAUAGCAUUGAGCGAGGAAAUGGUGUGGCUUCAAGGCUCAUGGACACCGAGAAUGAGUGGCAAGUGGAGAUUGUGUCCAGGAUCAAGUAUUAAUGAUGGAUCUUGUUUUGGGUGUUUUUUGUCUCAUAUUUGUAAUCUCUACUUUUUAUAGUUGAUUGAUUUGCCUUGUCUGUACACAUAGGAAGUUUUGUUCUAAACCAUAUAAUUUUUUAACGUUUUUAUUUUUGGAUCAUGGGUUUGCUUCCACAUGGUGUGAAGGAUUCGUAACUUAACAAUUGGUAUAAGAGCUUCUGCAUGCACAAAUCGUAUCAAAGUCGAGGUAGCAGAGUCAUGAUUAGAGGACAAGGAAAAAAAAUCUUGACUUCAUUCAAAUAGAUUAGGGAUUUUGACUCCCAAGAAAAUAUUAAUAAAAAGAAAAAGAGUUCGCAAUUGCUUCUUGCCUUUAGUAACAGGAGCCAACACAUGGCAUUGUCGGUGAAUGGAGCAGCACAAAUUAAAGUAGUGGGCUUGUUCUUUUGUCAAGUUGUGACAAAGGUAAAAUAAUAAGUGAUUUUUUGUUCCGGUUGUGAAUAGAAUGUAGGAGAAAAGUCAAAAGGUUGGUGAGUUUGGCUUAACAAGGGGCAUGAUCCGGUGAGGUGUGUGACAUGUCGAGGUGA